RNAcentral lists this non-coding RNA (27 nucleotides) under Homo sapiens (human). The record is from RNAcentral. Lineage: Eukaryota; Metazoa; Chordata; Mammalia; Primates; Hominidae.
UAUCAAAGAACAAAGUGCUUUGGGUGU